This 429-nucleotide ribosomal RNA is filed under the name Bacteroidota bacterium. RNAcentral's name for it is "Bacteroidetes bacterium partial 16S ribosomal RNA". It matches the Rfam family "Bacterial small subunit ribosomal RNA", at positions 355 to 776 of the family's 1533-position model. Lineage: Bacteria; Pseudomonadati; Bacteroidota. The record is from RNAcentral.
UAGGGAAUCUUCGGCAAUGGGGGGAACCCUGACCGAGCAACGCCGCGUGAGUGAAGAAGGUUUUCGGAUCGUAAAGCUCUGUUGUUAAGGAAGAACGAGUGUGAGAAUGGAAAGUUCAUGCUGUGACGGUACUUAACCAGAAAGGGACGGCUAACUACGUGCCAGCAGCCGCGGUAAUACGUAGGUCCCGAGCGUUGUCCGGAUUUAUUUGGCGUAAAGCGAGCGCAGGCGGUUAGAAAAGUCUGAAGUUAAAGGCAGUGGCUCAACCAUUGUAGGCUUUGGAAACUGUUUAACUUGAGUGCAGAAGGGGAGAGUGGAAUUCCAUGUGUAGCGGUGAAAUGCGUAGAUAUAUGGAGGAACACCGGUGGCGAAAGCGGCUCUCUGGUCUGUAACUGACGCUGAGGCUCGAAAGCGUGGGGAGCGAACAGG